UACGUAGGGGCUAGCGUUAUCCGGAAUUACUGGGCGUAAAGGGUGCGUAGGCGGUCUUUCAAGCCAGAAGUGAAAGGCUACGGCUCAACCGUAGUAAGCUUUUGGAACUGUAGGACUUGAGUGCAGGAGAGGAGAGUGGAAUUCCUAGUGUAGCGGUGAAAUGCGUAGAUAUUAGGAGGAACACCAGUAGCGAAGGCGGCUCUCUGGACUGUAACUGACGCUGAGGCACGAAGGCGUGGGAGCAAACAGGAUUAGAUACCCUGGUAGUCCCU
This 272-nucleotide ribosomal RNA is filed under the name uncultured prokaryote. Its description in RNAcentral is "partial 16S ribosomal RNA". It matches the Rfam family "Bacterial small subunit ribosomal RNA", at positions 524 to 798 of the family's 1533-position model. The record is from RNAcentral.